AGUACGAGAGGACCGGGAUGGACGAACCUCUAGUGUUCCAGUUAUCACGCCAGUGGUAAUGGCUGGGUAGCUAUGUUCGGAAGGGAUAACCGCUGAAAGCAUCUAAGUGGGAAGCCCCCCCUAAGAUUAGAUUUCCCCUGUGGCAACACAGCUAAAGAUCCCUCAUAGACUAUGAGGUUGAUAGGUCGGGUGUGUAAGCGCAGCAAUGUGUUUAGCUUACCGAUACUAAUAGAUCGUGAGGCUUAAUCAU
RNAcentral lists this ribosomal RNA (250 nucleotides) under bacterium. Its description in RNAcentral is "partial 23S ribosomal RNA". It matches the Rfam family "Bacterial large subunit ribosomal RNA", at positions 2680 to 2925 of the family's 2925-position model. RNAcentral also lists the same sequence under 1 other name. The record is from RNAcentral.